Long non-coding RNA from Neofelis nebulosa (Clouded leopard), 919 nucleotides. RefSeq lists it as uncharacterized. NCBI's taxonomy places the organism in Eukaryota, Metazoa, Chordata, Mammalia, Carnivora, Felidae. The record is from RefSeq and is a predicted model, not a curated record. The transcript is spliced from 2 exons.
UCCGGAGCAGCUUUUCUUUUAAACUUCGAGGAAGCGAAGCAAUUACUCCACAGGUUCGCUGGGGUUGGCGGCCCCAGCAUAACUAUCCCUGAAGUUGCAGCUCGGGAUCGUCCCCCGGGGCGCUCCCAGAGAGUGUAAAGUCUGUGGCGCCUGCGGUCUCCGGGGAACACUGAGAGAGGUAAUGGCAUUGAGCCCCGCAACUGCUGGAGCGCACGCAGAAGAUGAGAGCUAUCAAAAACAGACUUUUCUUUUCAAGUGGUGUUUGAGUUUCAUCUGUAGAUGAAAUCUCGUCGGCUGAGGUAGACUGAUAUUUUGAAGCAGAAUUCACUCCCUAGAAUCACUGAUGUGUGUUUCCAUCUUUUGUUUUAAUCUCCUGGUCUUCCUCCCAGUGUUCAUCUGCCCUUCGCAGCGUCUUAGCUGACCGCGGACAUGGACUGCAGCAGGGUUUGGUAGUACCCCCAACCCCGCCUCACCGCUUCUACACUUUUCGCUGUACGUUUUCUAUUAACAUACACAAAUCUUCAAUUUCACAUAAAAAUUUGUAUUUCUUCCUAAUCUCCAAAAAAGCUAGGCAACACUGAGUCCACAUUAUCAUGAAGGCAUUCGGCUGAAGAGGAGUCCCAGUUAGAGUGGCCAGCACUACACCUAUUCAGUAAUUUGAAUUACCCGCUCAGCACUGGCUCCCUGAGGUGAAGCGAUUAAAGUCAGCAGGACCUAAAUGAGGAUACAGAUCUCCUACUACAAACUAUGCUGUCUGCAAUGAGAGUUGUUCUUGGCUGAAAUACCCUCUAUUACGGCAUCAUGAACAUAAAUUAACUUUGCUUAUCGAAUAAGCAACUAUCUGUAGUCUUUUUUGCCCUUUUAAAUUUUAUUUUACCAUUAUCUUGUUACGCUUUUUAUUAUAAAAAGUUUAAAUAUA